AGAGAUAUAGUUUAAGUAAUAGAGCACUUGCCUAGUAAGCAUGAAGCCCUGAAUUCAAACUUCUGUACCGCCA
RNAcentral lists this transfer RNA (73 nucleotides) under Dipodomys ordii (Ord's kangaroo rat). It matches the Rfam family "tRNA". Rfam says of the family: Transfer RNA (tRNA) molecules are approximately 80 nucleotides in length. Their secondary structure includes four short double-helical elements and three loops (D, anti-codon, and T loops). Lineage: Eukaryota; Metazoa; Chordata; Mammalia; Rodentia; Heteromyidae. The record is from Rfam by way of RNAcentral.